RNAcentral lists this ribosomal RNA (457 nucleotides) under uncultured bacterium. Its description in RNAcentral is "partial 16S ribosomal RNA". It matches the Rfam family "Bacterial small subunit ribosomal RNA", at positions 338 to 795 of the family's 1533-position model. The record is from RNAcentral.
CCUACGGGAGGCAGCAGUGGGGAAUAUUGCACAAUGUGGGAAACCCUGAUGCCGCGACGCCGCGUGAGUGAAGAAGUAUUUCGGUACGUAAAGCUCUAUCAGCAGGGAAGAAAAAAAGUCCUUUGGACUUUGGACGGUACCUGACCAAGAAGCCCCGGCUAAAUACGUGCCAGCAGCCGCGGUAAUACGUAGGGGGCAAGCGGUAUCCGGAUUUACUGGGUGUAAAGGGAGCGCAGAAGGGAGAGGAAGUCUGGCGUGAAAUGCCGGGGCCCAACCCCGGAACUGCUUUGGAAACUGGGCAGCUGGAGUGCAGGUGAGGUAAGCGGAAUUCCUAGUGUAGCGGGGAAAUGCGGAGAUAUUAGGAGGAACACCAGUGGCGAAGGCGGCUUACUGGACUGUAACUGACGUUGAGGCUCGAAAGCGUGGGGAGCAAACAGGAUUAGAUACCCUAGUAGUC